Molecule: ribosomal RNA, 253 nt
Filed under: uncultured bacterium
Lineage: Bacteria
Description: partial 16S ribosomal RNA
Rfam family: Bacterial small subunit ribosomal RNA
Source: RNAcentral
UACAGAGGGUGCAAGCGUUAAUCGGAAUUACUGGGCGUAAAGCGUGCGUAGACGGUUACAUAAGUCGGGUGUGAAAGCCCCGGGCUCAACCUGGGAAUGGCAAUGGAAACUGGCGAGCUUGAGUGUGGCAGAGGGGGGUGGAAUUCCGCGUGUAGCAGUGAAAUGCGUAGAGAUGCGGAGGAACACCGAUGGCGAAGGCAGCCCCCUGGGCCAACACUGACGCUCAGGCACGAAAGCGUGGGGAGCAAACAGG